Molecule: long non-coding RNA, 219 nt
Filed under: Nicotiana benthamiana
Lineage: Eukaryota; Viridiplantae; Streptophyta; Magnoliopsida; Solanales; Solanaceae
Description: long non-coding RNA (NBEN_LNC003200)
Source: RNAcentral
GCCCGCAACUCUCUUAGGGCUAGGUUGGGAUGGCCAUUUUAAGUCCCAUAUAGAUGGAAGGCAAUCCCGCCCUAGCCCACCAAAUUUAAAAGCCCACGAAUCUUGGACUGGGUUAGGUUGGGUAGCCCAUUUUGACAGCUCUAUUCAAUGCCUGCUAUCUAACUGUUCAGCCAAGAUAUAAAUACAAUGAAAUUGAACAACAGAAAAAUGAAAUUCAAC